UGGGUUGUGGCUCAGUGGUAGAGCACUCACCUAGCAUGUGCAAGGCCUGGGUUCUAUCCUCAGCACCACAU
This is a non-coding RNA of Ictidomys tridecemlineatus (thirteen-lined ground squirrel), 71 nucleotides long. NCBI's taxonomy places the organism in Eukaryota, Metazoa, Chordata, Mammalia, Rodentia, Sciuridae. The record is from Rfam.